CAGUAGCCGCGGUAAUACGAAGGGGGCUAGCGUUGUUCGGAAUUACUGGGCGUAAAGGGCGCGUAGGCGGCCAUUCAAGUUAGAUGUGAAAGCCCUGGGCUCAACCUAGGAAUUGCAUUUGAUACUGUUUGGCUUGAGUUCGGGAGAGGUGAGUGGAAUUCCCAGUGUAGAGGUGAAAUUCGUAGAUAUUGGGAAGAACACCAGUGGCGAAGGCGGCUCACUGGACCGACACUGACGCUGAGGCGCGAAAGCGUGGGGAGCAAACAGGAUUAGAUACCCGUGUAGUCCCUGUCUCUUAUAU
Molecule: ribosomal RNA, 301 nt
Filed under: uncultured bacterium
Lineage: Bacteria
Description: partial 16S ribosomal RNA
Rfam family: Bacterial small subunit ribosomal RNA
Source: RNAcentral